Molecule: ribosomal RNA, 1406 nt
Filed under: metagenome
Description: bacterial LSU rRNA
Rfam family: Bacterial large subunit ribosomal RNA
Source: RNAcentral
CCAUGAUUCAUGGGAGUCAGACUGCACGAGAUAAGUUGGGCAGUCAAAAGGGAAAGAGCCCAGACCUGCAGCUAAGGUCCCAAAAUGUGUGUUAAGUGGAAAAGGAUGUGGGAUUUCAAAGACAACCAGGAUGUUGGCUUAGAAGCAGCCAUACAUUAAAAGAGUGCGUAAUAGCUCACUGGUCGAGAGGUCCUGUGCCGAAAAUGUCCGGGGCUGAAACACACUACCGAAGCUCAGGAAUUAACGUAGUUAAUUGGUAGAGGAGCAUUCUUAAAGGGAAGAAGCAGUACCGGAAGGAGCUGUGGACUUUUAAGAAGAGAGAAUGCCGGAAUGAGUAGCGAGAGGAGGGUGAGAAUCCUUCCGGCCGAAUACCCAAGGUUUCCAGAGUAAAGCUGAUCUGCUCUGGGUAAGUCGGGGCCUAAGGUGAGGUCGAAAGACGUAGCCGAUGGACAACAGAUUGAAAUUCCUGUACUGCAGUAUAACAGAACUGUGGGGACGCAGAGGGAGAGCACUAGCGGGAAUGGAAUCCCGUGGCAAGCGAGGUAGGAGUCGCGUUGGCAAAUCCGCGUGACAAUCCGAAGACGUGAUGCAUACCGAACAAAAGUAGGGAAAUGUGUGAGCCAGCUGCCAAGAAAAGCCGCUAUUGUUUGUACUGUACCCGUACCGUAAACCGACACAGGUAGGUGAGGAGAGAAUCCUAAGGCCGACGGGAGAAGCAUUGUUAAGGAACUCGGCAAAAUGACUCCGUAACUUCGGGAGAAGGAGUGCCAGUGAGAGCUGGCCGCAGAGAAUUGGCCCAAGCAACUGUUUAGCAAAAACACAGGUCUAUGCAAAACCGUAAGGUGAAGUAUAUGGGCUGACGCCUGCCCGGUGCUGGAAGGUUAGGGGGAGAGGUUAGCGCAAGCGAAGCUUUGAACUUAAGCCCCAGUAAACGGCGGCCGUAACAAUAACGGUCCUAAGGUAGCGAAAUUCCUUGUCGGGUAAGUUCCGACCCGCACGAAAGGCGUAAUGAUUUGGGCGCUGUCUCAACAAUGCACCCGGUGAAAUUGAAAUACCAGUGAAGAUGCUGGUUACCUGCGCCAGGACGGAAAGACCCCAUGGAGCUUUACUCCAGCUUGAUACUGGGAUUCGAUAUUGUAUGUACAGGAUAGGUGGGAGGCGAAGAAGCAUUGACGCCAGUUGAUGCGGAGCCGCUGUUGGGAUACCACCCUUGCAGUAUUGGAUUUCUAACCAGCAGCCGUGACCCGGCUGGGGGACAAUGUCAGGUGGGGAGUUUGACUGGGGCGGUCGCCUCCGAAAGGGUAUCGGAGGCGCUCAAAGGUUCCCUCAGAAUGGUUGGAAACCAUUCGAAGAGUGCAAAGGCAGAAGGGAGCUUGACUGCGACACCGACGGGUGGAGCAGGUACG